CUAUAGACGUGCCACAUACGCCUUAACAAAGGGAUGCGAAAUUGCGAAAUUGAGCUAAUCCCCCAAAAAAGGAUAUAAUAUGGAUUGUAGUCUGUAAUUCGACUACAUGAAUAAGGAAUUACUAGUAAUCGUGAAUCACCAACGUCACGGUGAAU
This is a ribosomal RNA of 155 nucleotides. It matches the Rfam family "Bacterial small subunit ribosomal RNA", at positions 1214 to 1367 of the family's 1533-position model.